AGAGCGAACGCCGGCGGCAGGCCUAAUACAUGCAAGUCGAACGGAUCCUUCGGGAUUAGUGGCGGACGGGUGAGUAACACGUGGGAACGUGCCCUUUGGUUCGGAACAACUCAGGGAAACUUGAGCUAAUACCGAAUGUGCCCUUCGGGGGAAAGAUUUAUCGCCAUUGGAGCGGCCCGCGUCUGAUUAGCUAGUUGGUGGGGUAAAGGCCCACCAAGGCGACGAUCAGUAGCUGGUCUGAGAGGAUGAUCAGCCACACUGGGACUGAGACACGGCCCAGACUCCUACGGGAGGCAGCAGUAGGGAAUCUUGCGCAAUGGGCGAAAGCCUGACGCAGCCAUGCCGCGUGAAUGAUGAAGGUCUUAGGAUUGUAAAAUUCUUUCAGCGGGACGAUAAUGACGGUACCCGCAGAAGAAGCCCGGCUAACUUCGCGCCAGCAGCCGC
This 444-nucleotide ribosomal RNA is filed under the name uncultured bacterium. RNAcentral describes it as "SSU rRNA". It matches the Rfam family "Bacterial small subunit ribosomal RNA", at positions 26 to 518 of the family's 1533-position model. The record is from RNAcentral.